CCCUUAGAUGUUCUGGGCCGCACGCGCGCUACACUGAUGCGUUCAACAAGUUUCCUUGGCCGAGAGGCCUGGGCAAUCUUCUUAAUAUGUAUCGUGAUAGGGAUAGAUUAUUGCAAUUAUUAAUCUUGAACGAGGAAUUCCUAGUAAACGCAGAUCAUCAAUCUGCAUUGAUUACGUCCCUGCCCUUUGUGCACACCGCCCGUCGCACCUACCGAUUGGAUGUUCCGGUGAAGCCUCGGGAUGAGGACUGGUGCCUUUAUUGGCAUGAGUUGUUCAGAACUUGUCUAAACCUUAUCAUCUAGAGGAAGGUGAAGUCGUAACA
RNAcentral lists this ribosomal RNA (322 nucleotides) under uncultured eukaryote. RNAcentral's name for it is "partial 18S ribosomal RNA". It matches the Rfam family "Eukaryotic small subunit ribosomal RNA", at positions 1470 to 1796 of the family's 1831-position model. The record is from RNAcentral.